UACGUAGGUGGCAAGCGUUGUCCGGAUUCACUGGGUGUAAAGGGUGUGUAGGCGGGACGGUGUGUCAGAGGUGAAAGCCCACGGCUUAACCGUGGAACUGCCUUUGAAACUGCCGUUCUUGAGUCUCGGAGAGGUCGCUGGAAUUCGUGGUGUAGCGGUGAAAUGCGUAGAUAUCACGAGGAACACCAGAGGCGUAGGCGGGCGACUGGACGAGUACUGACGCUGAGGCACGAAAGCGUGGGGAGCAAACAGG
RNAcentral lists this ribosomal RNA (253 nucleotides) under uncultured bacterium. Its description in RNAcentral is "partial 16S ribosomal RNA". It matches the Rfam family "Bacterial small subunit ribosomal RNA", at positions 524 to 776 of the family's 1533-position model. The record is from RNAcentral.